This is a long non-coding RNA of Suricata suricatta (meerkat), 452 nucleotides long. RefSeq lists it as uncharacterized. The transcript has 3 exons. NCBI's taxonomy places the organism in Eukaryota, Metazoa, Chordata, Mammalia, Carnivora, Herpestidae. The record is from RefSeq and is a predicted model, not a curated record.
AUUUCUUCCCUGGAUUUUUCGUUUAUCAAGCAUGGAGUUUGGAGAAUAUCCAUUCUGGAAGAUACUUGUUCCCCUCUUCUUUACCAUGAGCAAAACUGACUGGAAUCGUUCCCAUUUCUGACCUGUCGUGAAUGGAAUCUGCCUUCCUUAACCUGAGGCAUCCGGAAAGUCUUACUUUCCAGAGGCUGCCUUCCUGGACCCUUUCUCUUCUUCACAACCUGGGAACUGCCCUGCAGUUAAAGGAUUAUUCCACAGGGUCCACAACAACUUGGUCUGGUCAUUUUUCUGCCCUUCAUGCUUGAUGCACAUCAGACAACCUGAAGACCAAGAAGAACUUUGAUAUUUGGGCUAGACUCCUCUCUGGGGGGCAUCUCUGCACAUUUACAGUCCAGUGGGAUAAACCCCCCACCUUCCUGGAGUUUACCGUGUUGAUACCUAAGUUUUCAAACCAU